RNAcentral lists this ribosomal RNA (252 nucleotides) under uncultured bacterium. RNAcentral's name for it is "partial 16S ribosomal RNA". It matches the Rfam family "Bacterial small subunit ribosomal RNA", at positions 524 to 776 of the family's 1533-position model. The record is from RNAcentral.
UACAGAGGUCUCAAGCGUUGUUCAGAAUUACUGGGCGUAAAGGGCGUGUAGGCGGUGCCUAAAGAAUAUAGUCAAAUCUUCAAGCUCAACUUGAAAUCGCUAUAUUUACUGAGGUGCUAGAGUAACGAAGAGGUGACUGGAAUUUUCAGCGUAGCAGUGAAAUGCGUAGAUGCUGAAAGGAACAUCAAUGGCGAAGGCAAGUCUCUGGUCGUUUACUGACGCUGAGGCGCGAAAGCUAGGGGAGCAAACGGG